AUACCAAUACUCUCUCCGACAAGAAUACAAGCUUUAGAUAAGCGAGCACAAAGACCCGUUCCUUUCAAACGCGUUAGCGUGCAAAUACCCCUUGUUGAAAUUCUGACAUAUAUUCGUUUAUGUUCCAGUGUGUUUAUCAAUCAACCGAUAGACGCUAACUAAGGAGUGUUCCCUCUGCUACCAAGACGCAAGAUAGAAGGUAAAAAGGAAACCGUUCAAGACGAAAGGCCAUGUGUUAGGGUGGAUUUAGCCUUAGUUUGCUUUUAUAACAAAGUGUCCAGCAAUUCAUAAUGAUUUGUACAAUAAACAAGCCAAACUAAA
This 321-nucleotide long non-coding RNA is filed under the name Exaiptasia diaphana. RNAcentral's name for it is "uncharacterized LOC110249500, transcript variant X1". Lineage: Eukaryota; Metazoa; Cnidaria; Anthozoa; Actiniaria; Aiptasiidae. The record is from RNAcentral.